Long non-coding RNA from Nannospalax galili (Upper Galilee mountains blind mole rat), 521 nucleotides. RefSeq lists it as uncharacterized. The record is from RefSeq and is a predicted model, not a curated record. NCBI's taxonomy places the organism in Eukaryota, Metazoa, Chordata, Mammalia, Rodentia, Spalacidae. The transcript is spliced from 3 exons.
ACCACAAGGUCAGCAGUUAGCAAAGCAUGUCAAGAAUGGAGACAGAGGGGCUUCAACACGUGGCCACCCUAACUGGGCAAGCAGCACAUGAACAGUGCCUGAUCGUCUCCCCAGCCAUGUGCGGCUCCUAUGUACACACUCAGAUGCACACUGAACAUGAGGACACGAGGUCAGAGGAAAGAGGUGGUAGGAGGCUGGAAAGGUUGAGCCCUGUAGCAGUCAACUGGCCAGGCUCCAUGAUAACCUCAGCAAGGGCUGACCUGACCUGAGAAAGUUCCUCCUUGAAGGGUCCUGGGAAGCAGAAUGCUCAGUGGACAGAACAGAGAGGUGUGACUGGAUGGACCUGGGCCCUGUCCUGACAUUAUUCUUUAUUUACUGGGCAAGUGGGCAAACUAAAUCUUUUUGAUCCUCAAUUUGAUUGUUACUACUGCUCAAUCUGUAAAAUAAGGGACGAAAGUGCCCCCUUCAGGAGAGUACUGUAGGAAUUAACAGAAGAGGACACAUGAAAAGCCCAGCUUAAC